RNAcentral lists this ribosomal RNA (631 nucleotides) under uncultured Flavobacterium sp. RNAcentral's name for it is "bacterial SSU rRNA". It matches the Rfam family "Bacterial small subunit ribosomal RNA", at positions 65 to 699 of the family's 1533-position model. The record is from RNAcentral. Lineage: Bacteria; Pseudomonadati; Bacteroidota; Flavobacteriia; Flavobacteriales; Flavobacteriaceae.
AGGGGUAUAGUAGCAAUACUAGAGACCGGCGCACGGGUGCGUAACGCGUAUGCAAUCUACCUUAUACAGAGGGAUAGCCCAGAGAAAUUUGGAUUAAUACCUCAUAGCAUAGCAACUUCGCAUGAAGUCACUAUUAAAGUUCCAACGGUAUAAGAUGAGCAUGCGUCCUAUUAGCUAGAUGGUAAGGUAACGGCUUACCAUGGCUACGAUAGGUAGGGGUCCUGAGAGGGAGAUCCCCCACACUGGUACUGAGACACGGACCAGACUCCUACGGGAGGCAGCAGUGAGGAAUAUUGGACAAUGGGCGCAAGCCUGAUCCAGCCAUGCCGCGUGCAGGAAGACGCAUCUAUGGUGUGUAAACUGCUUUUGUACGGGAAGAAACACUCCCUCGUGAGGGAGCUUGACGGUACCGUAAGAAUAAGGAUCGGCUAACUCCGUGCCAGCAGCCGCGGUAAUACGGAGGAUCCAAGCGUUAUCCGGAAUCAUUGGGUUUAAAGGGUCCGUAGGCGGUUUGGUAAGUCAGUGGUGAAAGCCCAUCGCUUAACGAUGGAACGGCCAUUGAUACUGCCAGACUUGAAUUACUGGGAAGUAACUAGAAUAUGUAGUGUAGCGGUGAAAUGCUUAGAUAUUA